AUUGAACGCUGGCGGCAGGCCUAACACAUGCAAGUCGAGCGGCAGCACAAUAAGAGUUUGCCUCUGCGGGUGGCGAGUGGCGGGGGGGUGAGAAAUAUAUCAGACUCUACUUUUUCGUGGGGGAACUCGUGGAAACACUAACGAUAACAGCGCAUACGCUCUACGGCAGAGAGCAGGAGCUUUUCGCACCUUGCCCGCAGGUUUGAGCAGAUGUCGGUAUAGCUAGUUGGGGGGGUAAGGGCACACCAAGGCGACGAUCCGUAGCUGGUCUGAGAGGAUGAUCAGCCACACUGGAACUGAGACACGGUCCAGACUCCUACGGGAGGCAGCAGUGGGGAAUAUUGGGCAAUGGGCGCAAGCCUGAUGCAGCCAUGCCGCGUGUGUGAAGAAGGCCUUCGGGUUGUAAAGCCCUUUUAUUGGGAAAGAAAAGCAGCAGGUUAAUACCCCGAUGUACUGACGGUACCCAAAGAAGAAGCACCGGCUAACUUCGUG
This 492-nucleotide ribosomal RNA is filed under the name uncultured bacterium. Its description in RNAcentral is "partial 16S ribosomal RNA". It matches the Rfam family "Bacterial small subunit ribosomal RNA", at positions 30 to 507 of the family's 1533-position model. The record is from RNAcentral.